Molecule: ribosomal RNA, 993 nt
Filed under: Staphylococcus sp.
Lineage: Bacteria; Bacillati; Bacillota; Bacilli; Caryophanales; Staphylococcaceae
Description: bacterial SSU rRNA
Rfam family: Bacterial small subunit ribosomal RNA
Source: RNAcentral
GGAUCUUCGCAAUUGGGCGAAAGCUGACGAGCACGCCGCGUGAGUGAUGAAAGUCUCGAUCGUAAACUCUGUUAUCAGGGAAGAACAAUGUGUAAGUAACUGUGCACAUCUGACGGUACCUGAUCAGAAAACCACGGCUAACUACGUGCCAGCAGCCGCGGUAAUACGGUAGGUGGCAAGCGUUAUCCGGAAUUAUUGGGCGUAAAGCGCGCGUAGGCGGUUUUUUAAGUCUGAUGUGAAAGCCCACGGCUCAACCGUGGAGGGUCAUUGGAAACUGGAAAACUUGAGUGCAGAAGAGGAAAGUGGAAUUCCAUGUGUAGCGGUGAAAUGCGCAGAGAUAUGGAGGAACACCACUGGCGAAGGCGACUUUCUGGUCUGUAACUGACGCUGAUGUGCGAAAGCGUGGGGAUCAAACACGAUUAGAUACCCUGGUAGUGCACGCCGUAAACGAUGAGUGCUAAGUGUUAGGGGGUUUCUGCCCCUUAGUGCUGCAGAUCACGCACUAAGCACUCUGCCUGGGGAGUACGACCUCACGGUUGAAACUCAAAGGAAUUGACGGGGACCCGCACACGCGGUGGAGCACGUGGUUUAAUUUGAAGCAACGCGAAGAACCCUACCAAAUCUUGACAUCUUUUGACCGAUCUAGAGAUAGAGUGUUUCCCUUUGGGGGACAAAGUGACAGGUGGUGCAUGGUUGUCGUCAGCUCGUGUCGUGAGAUGUUGGGUUAAGUCCCGCAACGAGCGCAACCCUUAAUCUUAGUUGCCAUCAUUAAGUUGGGCACUCUAAGUUGACUGCCGGUGACAAACCGGAGGAAGGUGGGGAUGACGUCAAAUCAUCAUGCCCCUUAUGAUUUGGGCUACACACGUGCUACAAUGGACAAUACAAAGGGCAGCUAAACCGCGAGGUCAAGCAAAUCCCAUAAAGUUGUUCUCAGUUCGGAUUGUAGUCUGCAACUCGACUACAUGAAGCUGGAAUCGCUAGUAAUCGUAGAUC